CCUACGGGUGGCAGCAGUGAGGAAUAUUGGUCAAUGGACGCAAGUCUGAACCAGCCAUGCCGCGUGCAGGAAGACGGCUCUAUGAGUUGUAAACUGCUUUUGUACGAGGGUAAACUGAGAUACGUGUAUGGGUCUGAAAGUAUCGUACGAAUAAGGAUCGGCUAACUCCGUGCCAGCAGCCGCGGUAAUACGGAGGAUUCGAGCGUUAUCCGGAUUUAUUGGGUUUAAAGGGUGCGUAGGCUGUUGGAUAAGUUAGAGGUGAAAUACCGAGGCUCAACAUCGGAAUUGCCUCUGAUACUGUUCGGCUAGAGAGUAGUUGCAGUAGGCGGAAUGUAUGGUGUAGCGGUGAAAUGCUUAGAGAUCACACAGAACACCGAUUGCGAAGGCAGCUUACCAGGCUACAUCUGACGUUGAGGCACGAAAGCGUGGGGAGCAAACAGGAUUAGAUACCCUAGUAGUC
This 460-nucleotide ribosomal RNA is filed under the name uncultured bacterium. RNAcentral describes it as "partial 16S ribosomal RNA". It matches the Rfam family "Bacterial small subunit ribosomal RNA", at positions 338 to 795 of the family's 1533-position model. The record is from RNAcentral.